This 280-nucleotide ribosomal RNA is filed under the name uncultured bacterium. RNAcentral's name for it is "partial 16S ribosomal RNA". It matches the Rfam family "Bacterial small subunit ribosomal RNA", at positions 75 to 353 of the family's 1533-position model. The record is from RNAcentral.
CUUGCAAACUGGGGAUGGCGACCGGCGCACGGGUGAGUAACACGUAUCCAACCUGCCGAUAACUCGGGGAUAGCCUUUCGAAAGAAAGAUUAAUACCCGAUGGCAUAAUAGAACCGCAUGGUUUGAUUAUUAAAGAAUUUCGGUUAUCGAUGGGGAUGCGUUCCAUUAGGCAGUUGGUGGGGUAACGGCCCACCAAACCUUCGAUGGAUAGGGGUUCUGAGAGGAAGGUCCCCCACAUUGGAACUGAGACACGGUCCAAACUCCUACGGGAGGCAGCAUG